Molecule: non-coding RNA, 72 nt
Organism: Pilobolus umbonatus
Lineage: Eukaryota; Fungi; Mucoromycota; Mucoromycetes; Mucorales; Pilobolaceae
Source: the annotation of a GenBank genome assembly
GCCCGUUUAGCUCAGUGGCAGAGCGUUUGUCUUGUAAACAAAAGGUCGGUUGUUCAAUCCAGCCAUCGGGCA